CUGGGUCAAACACUGGACAUGGAAGCAGCAGGCGUGGGAGAAGUCCUCUGCAGUGGGGACAGCUGGUGCAGCAGUGUGCCUGGAAUGAAAUUCAAGUUGGUUGUUAAAGGAGGUCGUUAACUGUGUAAUUUAAGCCUUGGUAUAUCCCGGAAUAGCCUCCCCUCUGAAAGGAAGUCACAGAAAUAGCUUAAAAAAAAAAACCAGAGUUUCCAAAACAAAGCACAGAAAAGCUCAAUGAGAGUUGUUGGGUCUGAGUCAAGCUCCAUGCUGCAGGAGCAGGUGUGUGGCAGGCUUCUGCAGUCCUUAGGCAGUGCUGCGCUGGCCUGCAGGUUGGUUGUCAUUCAGUUCUGGCUGUUGUCUUACAUGAGUGCAGCUGUAUAGCCAUUGAGCAUGACUCCAUGGCCUGAAAUAAUUCCCACAUCCAAACCUCAGGAGCAUUUGGCUGUAAAUGGCUCUGUACACGUGGUUUGCAUAAGUGUCUACAGUGAGCCCCCCUCCCCCCAAACACACUCAACCUGUGCAAGCCAAUGCAGAAGGUAAGAGAGGUAAUGGGAGUGACAGAGGAGACUGUUGCAUUGAGAGAGGGGGAGUUAGGCUUAUCACUCAUUCUGUUUCUUUGUCUACUGCAGCCCGUCAAAGUGAAGGUUGAAUUUUAACCUCAAGUCACAAAUAAAACACUCCUCCCUAGGAGCUGGUGGAUUUUGCAUUCUCUUUCCCAAAGCAGGAGCUCUCACCAGGUGACAAACACUGCAGCCCCUGACAACUUCUUGAAAACAGAUUUUUCUUUUGAAAUGAGUCAGCAUGGAACAGUUUUAUUUGUGGUGGUCCAGUUUUGCUUCCCACAGCAGAUCCAACAGGAUAAGCAUUCCAGCUGCAGCUGCUUGUUCCAGAGGAGCUUGACAGCAUUCUGAACCAGCCUAGGCAGUAGCUAUGCUGCAGCCAGCAGUGGGUAGAAGGGAGUGCUUACACCUAAAAGAGCAAUUUGAAAUCAAUGCUGAUUAAUUACAGGGGUCAUCCAGUUGGAGGAGAAACCUUGCCUGCAAUUCAGAGAAGAAUGGUCUUGAGGUUAAGGAACUUGCUGCGUUCUCAGGAACCUACAGUCCAAAGCUGUCCAUUCAUGUGACGAGGUGGACAAGCAUCAGCUGCUAGAAUUAGCACUAUGGCCCUACUGGUUCUUAGAGUUGAGUCUUCUGGCUGUGUAUGCACGCAGUAUUUUGGCGGUGGUGGCAACGUGAUCUGACUGCGAGGACUCUCAGAGAGCUUGCCAGGACCAAGUUUAAAGUGUUCCUUCUGAUGAGAUUACGGUAGGUUAGUUGAGAUCGCUGAUGGUUCCUUCCGAGGCAUGCAAUUUGAAUGGAAGGGAGAGAGAAAAAAAGGAGGCGACAGAGGAGGCAUUUGGAAAGGAACUGCUAGCUGCAGCUAGCCAACUCCAAAACCACAGGGAAUUAAAUGUGGACAAGGCACAUCUUUUAUCUUUUUGACAUUAAGAAAUUCCAUCUGGAGCUUUCAUUGUAAAGAGAAAGGCUAGAGAGAAGGAGCUGUAGUCAUACCUAGAUAAAUAGCCAACAAAAAAUGCCAACAAACGUUUAAGCAGAGAAUCUUAACAGAUGUGGAAAAGGGGAUUAAACAGUGAAGAAGAUAACAUACUACAGGUUACAAAUUACGAGGGAGGAUUGCCAGAAGCCAAGCUGAGCGAGGCUUGGCAAAAGGAAUUAAAACGAAUAACAGAACCUGCUGGAGCAAAGCGAAUAAAAAGAGGACAAGGAGAGAAAGAGUAAAUAGGGUUGCUAUGGAGUUAGCAGGGGUUCCAGCUGAAAGAUUAUUUGUAUACAGCCUCAGAAUUACAGAGUCUGUGCUACCUUUUUUGUUUAGUUUUUUCCUCCUGAGGAUAAGUCUUCAGAGUAAAGAGAGAGGUGGCAAGAAGGGGAAAGAAGUGGAGAUUAUAAUUUCUAAAGAGGAAGUAUAACCAAAAUAUAUCCAUGUGCUCAAAUCUGUGAUGCAGAUGAUCUCCAUCCCAAAUCUGUGUCAAAAAUCAGUCACUUGACAUUGCAACUCCAUGAGGCAAGAAUUUAAUAAAUUUAAUCAGAGGAUGGUUCUGUAGGCCAGAAACUGGCAAAGUUUGUGUUUGUAUUUAGGAUAAGAGGUACAGCAUGACCUAGGCAGCUGUUGAUCUGUAAUCCUAACAUGAAUAGAUUGGAAGGUUU
Pezoporus flaviventris is the source of this 2204-nucleotide long non-coding RNA. RefSeq lists it as uncharacterized. NCBI's taxonomy places the organism in Eukaryota, Metazoa, Chordata, Aves, Psittaciformes, Psittacidae. The record is from RefSeq and is a predicted model, not a curated record. The transcript is spliced from 2 exons.